UUUUUUUUUUAUUGUGUUACUGGUCUUCUCAAAACAUUACAACAACAUGACUGAAGUAACAUUCUCUUUAUAAGUAACUUGAAAACCAUCUGGUUAAGGAACAUUGUAUUUUUAAUGGCCAUGUUAUACAAAAAUUGGUCAAGGUGUAAAUAAAUGUAAAACAAAUUCACGAGUUAAAUAGCGUUGCUGAAGAUUUGAAUAAGAAAUAUUUGUGUAAAUAUUGCAGUUGCAGGAAUACAGAGAUAUUUUUUGCAAUUUUGCUGAGUCUAGGAAAGAUUGGCUGUCAGCUCGGCUUUGACUUUGUCUUCUUCUGAUUGAAUGAGAGGUUGUAAAGCUGCUGCCUUUUUCUUAAAAAGAUACAGUGGAAGUAAAGGACUGAACAUGGAAACCGUAAAGCCUAAUUUAACCCAAUGUGUGAAGUUGUGGACUUAUAGCAGGAGUACCAGAUGUGUGUCUAAUAUAAAAUAAUAUAUUUAAUCUGUUUUUCUUUUUUCCCCUUUUUAAAUACCGAACAUUUCAUGCGCUUUGCUCCACUCUCUCUGUUAUGCUGCCUGAUCUGUCUGGUUUUCAGCUAGGUCCGCUAAAUGACGUCAUGGGGGCAGCUACUUUCACUUUCUCUGCUACAGUCCCUCACCUCUGCUCAUGUUCAAACCAAAAGAUCAGCGCGGUUUUUCACAUGGCAGGCUUUUACGUCCUUCAUACAUGUUGAGAUCGAGUUUGUCGACUUGAUGAGGGAAUGUCUUGACAAUCCAUACAGACGUGACUCAGACUAAUGCAACAAGUAAAAUCCUACAUGACUUCACACAGUUUAA
RNAcentral lists this long non-coding RNA (812 nucleotides) under Danio rerio (zebrafish). Its description in RNAcentral is "si:ch211-105d18.7 (ENSDARG00000096744.2)". The record is from RNAcentral. Lineage: Eukaryota; Metazoa; Chordata; Actinopteri; Cypriniformes; Danionidae.